AUCUAUACUGACAUAACAUGUGCC
This 24-nucleotide non-coding RNA is filed under the name Arabidopsis thaliana (thale cress). Lineage: Eukaryota; Viridiplantae; Streptophyta; Magnoliopsida; Brassicales; Brassicaceae. The record is from RNAcentral.